ACGGGGGGGGCAAGCGUUGUUCGGAAUUACUGGGCGUAAAGGGCCAGUAGGCGGCCAACUAAGUCGGACGUGAAAUCCCCAGGCUCAACCUGGGAACUGCGUCCGAUACUGGAUGGCUGGAGUAUGGGAGAGGAAUGCGGAAUUCCAGGUGUAGCGGUGAAAUGCGUAGAUAUCUGGAGGAACACCGGUGGCGAAGGCGGCAUUCUGGACCAUUACUGACGCUGAGGAGCGAAAGCCAGGGGAGCAAACGGGA
This 253-nucleotide ribosomal RNA is filed under the name uncultured prokaryote. RNAcentral describes it as "partial 16S ribosomal RNA". It matches the Rfam family "Bacterial small subunit ribosomal RNA", at positions 525 to 777 of the family's 1533-position model. The record is from RNAcentral.